Molecule: microRNA precursor, 82 nt
Filed under: Helianthus annuus (common sunflower)
Lineage: Eukaryota; Viridiplantae; Streptophyta; Magnoliopsida; Asterales; Asteraceae
Description: sRNA HanXRQr2_Chr03g0116451
Source: RNAcentral
ACUAUCCAAUCGAGUGACCACCCGAUCGGGUGACCACCCGAUCGGGUGACCACCCGAUCGGGUGACCACCCGAACGGAUUGU